GGGUUGUGAGGUUAAGCGACUAAGCGUACACGGUGGAUGCCCUGGCAGUCAGAGGCGAUGAAGGACGUGCUAAUCUGCGAUAAGCGUCGGUAAGGUGAUAUGAACCGUUAUAACCGGCGAUUUCCGAAUGGGGAAACCCAGUGUGAUUCGUCACACUAUCAUUAACUGAAUCCAUAGGUUAAUGAGGCGAACCGGGGGAACUGAAACAUCUAAGUACCCCGAGGAAAAGAAAUCAACCGAGAUUCCCCCAGUAGCGGCGAGCGGACGGGGAGCAGCCCAGAGCCUGAAUCAGUGUGUGUGUUAGUGGAAGCGUCUGGAAAGGCGUGCGAUACAGGGUGACAGCCCCGUACACAAAAAUGCACAUAUUGUGAGCUUGAUGAGUAGGGCGGGACACGUGGUAUCCUGUCUGAAUAUGGGGGGACCAUCCUCCAAGGCUAAAUACUCCUGACUGACCGAUAGUGAACCAGUACCGUGAGGGAAAGGCGAAAAGAACCCCGGCGAGGGGAGUGAAAAAGAACCUGAAACCGUGUACGUACAAGCAGUGGGAGCACGCUUAGGCGUGUGACUGCGUACCUUUUGUAUAAUGGGUCAGCGACUUAUAUUCUGUAGCAAGGUUAACCGAAUAGGGGAGCCGAAGGGAAACCGAGUCUUAACUGGGCGUUAAGUUGCAGGGUAUAGACCCGAAACCCGGUGAUCUAGCCAUGGGCAGGUUGAAGGUUGGGUAACACUAACUGGAGGACCGAACCGACUAAUGUUGAAAAAUUAGCGGAUGACUUGUGGCUGGGGGUGAAAGGCCAAUCAAACCGGGAGAUAGCUGGUUCUCCCCGAAAGCUAUUUAGGUAGCGCCUCGUGAAUUCAUCUCCGGGGGUAGAGCACUGUUUCGGCAAGGGGGUCAUCCCGACUUACCAACCCGAUGCAAACUGCGAAUACCGGAGAAUGUUAUCACGGGAGACACACGGCGGGUGCUAACGUCCGUCGUGAAGAGGGAAACAACCCAGACCGCCAGCUAAGGUCCCAAAGUCAUGGUUAAGUGGGAAACGAUGUGGGAAGGCCCAGACAGCCAGGAUGUUGGCUUAGAAGCAGCCAUCAUUUAAAGAAAGCGUAAUAGCUCACUGGUCGAGUCGGCCUGCGCGGAAGAUGUAACGGGGCUAAACCAUGCACCGAAGCUGCGGCAGCGACGCUUAUGCGUUGUUGGGUAGGGGAGCGUUCUGUAAGCCUGCGAAGGUGUGCUGUGAGGCAUGCUGGAGGUAUCAGAAGUGCGAAUGCUGACAUAAGUAACGAUAAAGCGGGUGAAAAGCCCGCUCGCCGGAAGACCAAGGGUUCCUGUCCAACGUUAAUCGGGGCAGGGUGAGUCGACCCCUAAGGCGAGGCCGAAAGGCGUAGUCGAUGGGAAACAGGUUAAUAUUCCUGUACUUGGUGUUACUGCGAAGGGGGGACGGAGAAGGCUAUGUUGGCCGGGCGACGGUUGUCCCGGUUUAAGCGUGUAGGCUGGUUUUCCAGGCAAAUCCGGAAAAUCAAGGCUGAGGCGUGAUGACGAGGCACUACGGUGCUGAAGCAACAAAUGCCCUGCUUCCAGGAAAAGCCUCUAAGCAUCAGGUAACAUCAAAUCGUACCCCAAACCGACACAGGUGGUCAGGUAGAGAAUACCAAGGCGCUUGAGAGAACUCGGGUGAAGGAACUAGGCAAAAUGGUGCCGUAACUUCGGGAGAAGGCACGCUGAUAUGUAGGUGAAGUCCCUUGCGGAUGGAGCUGAAAUCAGUCGAAGAUACCAGCUGGCUGCAACUGUUUAUUAAAAACACAGCACUGUGCAAACACGAAAGUGGACGUAUACGGUGUGACGCCUGCCCGGUGCCGGAAGGUUAAUUGAUGGGGUCAGCGCAAGCGAAGCUCUUGAUCGAAGCCCCGGUAAACGGCGGCCGUAACUAUAACGGUCCUAAGGUAGCGAAAUUCCUUGUCGGGUAAGUUCCGACCUGCACGAAUGGCGUAAUGAUGGCCAGGCUGUCUCCACCCGAGACUCAGUGAAAUUGAACUCGCUGUGAAGAUGCAGUGUACCCGCGGCAAGACGGAAAGACCCCGUGAACCUUUACUAUAGCUUGACACUGAACAUUGAGCCUUGAUGUGUAGGAUAGGUGGGAGGCUUUGAAGUGUGGACGCCAGUCUGCAUGGAGCCGGCCUUGAAAUACCACCCUUUAAUGUUUGAUGUUCUAACGUGGACCCGUGAUCCGGGUUGCGGACAGUGUCUGGUGGGUAGUUUGACUGGGGCGGUCUCCUCCUAAAGAGUAACGGAGGAGCACGAAGGUUGGCUAAUCCUGGUCGGACAUCAGGAGGUUAGUGCAAUGGCAUAAGCCAGCUUGACUGCGAGCGUGACGGCGCGAGCAGGUGCGAAAGCAGGUCAUAGUGAUCCGGUGGUUCUGAAUGGAAGGGCCAUCGCUCAACGGAUAAAAGGUACUCCGGGGAUAACAGGCUGAUACCGCCCAAGAGUUCAUAUCGACGGCGGUGUUUGGCACCUCGAUGUCGGCUCAUCACAUCCUGGGGCUGAAGUAGGUCCCAAGGGUAUGGCUGUUCGCCAUUUAAAGUGGUACGCGAGCUGGGUUUAGAACGUCGUGAGACAGUUCGGUCCCUAUCUGCCGUGGGCGCUGGAGAACUGAGGGGGGCUGCUCCUAGUACGAGAGGACCGGAGUGGACGCAUCACUGGUGUUCGGGUUGUCAUGCCAAUGGCACUGCCCGGUAGCUAAAUGCGGAAGAGAUAAGUGCUGAAAGCAUCUAAGCACGAAACUUGCCCCGAGAUGAGUUCUCCCUGACCCUUUAAGGGUCCUGAAGGAACGUUGAAGACGACGACGUUGAUAGGCCGGGUGUGUAAGCGCAGCGAUGCGUUGAGCUAACCGGUACUAAUGAACCGUGAGGCUUAACCUUACAACGCCGAAG
Molecule: ribosomal RNA, 2925 nt
Filed under: Shigella sonnei
Lineage: Bacteria; Pseudomonadati; Pseudomonadota; Gammaproteobacteria; Enterobacterales; Enterobacteriaceae
Description: 23S ribosomal RNA
Rfam family: Bacterial large subunit ribosomal RNA
Source: RNAcentral